UCCUUGUGUCUCUCCAGAGUUCGUUGCAUUGCAAAUUUACUUUUGCAGAUAGAUAUGUGCAGUGCAUCCGAACAAAAUUUGCCAAGAUUCAGAGCCCUUCUGAGUUUUUUAACAAAUUUUUUGUCAGACUUGCUCAACAGCACAUAUCUUAGCGCUAAAACAGUACUCCAUCCAUAUCACAGUUAGUCUACAUUUCGGAUAUGGCUUAAGCCAAACUUUUAGAAUUUUUACUACGAAUAUCAUUUUGGAUGGUGUAUUUAUAUUGCAAAUUUUAAAAUCACAUAUAUAGAUUUGUCUUGACUUCUACAAUCCUUUACUCUUCUUGGUAUUUAUACUUAUAUCACAGUAGAAACUAGUGGUCAAAGUUACACCUUAAAGUUUACGUGAUACGGAGGGAGAGUAUUUAUCAAAUUACAAAUGUUUUUCGCUAUCCAAUCAUUACACAGGUGUAUAAAUGGUUUGAUGCAUCUUCUAUUGGUGAAUCUGAUGAUGUCCGGUUUGAUUAUUUCUGCACAAAGGUGAGUCCUUCUCGCUUCUGUCCUUAUAUUACAUUCUUGAUAAGGCAUUAUGGAAUUUAGUGCACUCAGCUCAUUUUCAGAACUAUGAAUCGUCUCUAUGGUACUUACUUUUAUCUGUUCGACUAAAAGGGGAUCUGCUCCGAGGCUUCAUUUUUAUUUGACAAUCUUCUUUUAGUCCUAUGCUAUCUAGCAACUGUCUAUAUUAGGGCUACAUCGCAACAGGAUAUAUCUCAUUCAAGGCAAGAAGAUGAUCUUGCUUGAUGGCGAGAGACCCCACUUCUUCCACAUAUACAAGAUGCAGAUCAGGGGAGGACAUCAUUUGGCCGUCUAUCCAUUGCCAGUGAGAAAGGAUUUCUAUCCGGAGGUGUCAGACUUGAAGUUUAGCUCAACUGAAAGUAACGCGCUAGACAUAAAUCUUUUCUUUUUUAGCUCAACUGGAAAUUGUUUUUUUAUCUGAAAGUGUUUCUAGUGGAUCAUAGAGAAACGGUCACUUUUGUUGCUUUUUUUCGCAGCAGAAGUGGCCUUUCAUGUCGUAGGAAAUAGGAGUUGAGGUGAUUUCCACUUACCGCCCUACUUACCGUUCCCAGGGCAUAUGUAAUUGUUGGUCGUCCGGCUGGACUGACGAACCUGCUUCAUCAUCAUUAGAACUUCAUCCAUCUUUUGUUUGGGACAGCAAUCGAGUGUAAUAAUUUAUGGAUAUGUAUGUAAACUAAGCAAGUAGAGAAGAGGAUUAGAGGAAGCCUGAGAUUUUGAUAAAAAAGAAGACCAGGCGUCCAAGUAUCUUCCUCAAUGUACCUCCCCCCUGGAUCAUCAUAUAUUGGCACAGAACGUAUCAGUGAAUGCAAGAGAUGUAAAAGCAAA
Lolium perenne is the source of this 1379-nucleotide long non-coding RNA. RefSeq lists it as uncharacterized. The record is from RefSeq and is a predicted model, not a curated record. Lineage: Eukaryota; Viridiplantae; Streptophyta; Magnoliopsida; Poales; Poaceae.